Non-coding RNA from Poecilia reticulata (guppy), 364 nucleotides. The record is from RefSeq and is a predicted model, not a curated record. NCBI's taxonomy places the organism in Eukaryota, Metazoa, Chordata, Actinopteri, Cyprinodontiformes, Poeciliidae.
CAAACUUCAACUGCCAUCUUCAUGUUCUCUGGUAUAUUGUACAGAACCUCAACCCUUCAGUGUAUUGACACAAGAUGAGAGCAGCAUCACUCUGCAGUGGAACAAGACCAGCACCAGCUUUGUUCUCCAGUUUAACGGCACAGAGAUAAACAUCAGAGCACCAGAUGGAGAUGGACCAGUGAUCUACACAGUUUCAUCUCUCACUGCUGGAACCAAAUACACAUUCACUCUCUUCUCUGUGUUUGAGAACGUCAGAAGCAGUGGAGGACAACUGACAGCUGUCACAGCUCCUCAAAAUGCAGAAGGAUUUACAAAGUCGGGACAAUAUAAGAGCAGCAUCACCCUGCAGUGGAAUAAAAUCAAC